UGUGUGUGUACCAUUGCGUACCUUCACUUGACUAGCUCAGCACUAAUGAUUUAGAGGAGAAAAAUAGAGGGAGAGGGAGGGUAUUGACGAGGAUAAAGUAAAACAGAGGGAGGAGGGAUAAUUGAGCAACAGAGUCAGGGAUGACUAACCCGCACCAGAGGAGAGAUAGAGAGAGCAGGAGGAGGAGAGGAAUAAAAUAGAGAUAUAUGAGUGUGUUAAAGGUAAGCGGAAGUUAAUGUUACAUAUUAGCAGUGUUUUACUGAAGAGCUCAAUGGGUACGGGAACAAAAGUAGGAGAAGAAACAGGCUGGUAUUUUUUAAAGUGACAAACAAAGGACAAUACAUCUAUAUCACCAGAAAACCAGCACCAGCGAAGGUCAUAGGAGGUCCAUCGGGACCAAGACAGUUUUCACUGCACCUUCCCAUGAAAUACACACCCCCCCUGCACCAAGAGAGAACAUUCCUUCCCUCAAACUAUCUGCAAACCUGGAGAGAACAGUUUAGAAGACAACCACACCUGAGAGAGAGCAAAUGACAGGAACACUAGACAAGCAGAAGAA
RNAcentral lists this long non-coding RNA (559 nucleotides) under Oncorhynchus kisutch (coho salmon). RNAcentral's name for it is "lncRNA (ENSOKIG00005040485.1)". The record is from RNAcentral. Lineage: Eukaryota; Metazoa; Chordata; Actinopteri; Salmoniformes; Salmonidae.